CAGCCGGGGGUGGAUAGGCAUGCAGUCGAGCGUGAAGUCUUCGGACGAGUAAAGCGGCGAAAGGGUGAGUAAUACGUAGUCAAUCUACCCUCGAGACCGGGAUAACCACUGGAAACGGUGGCUAAUACCGGAUGGCCUCGGCGGGGGGCAUCCCCGGCCGAGUAAACGGAGGCGCAAGCUCCUGCUGGAGGAGGAGGCUACGGGCUAUCAGCUAGUUGGUGAGGUAACGGCUCACCAAGGCGAUGACGGCUAGCCGGUCUGAGAGGACGAUCGGCCACACUGGGACUGAGACACUGCCCAGACUCCUACGGGAGGCUGCAGUCGAGAAUCUUCCGCAAUGGGCGCAAGCCUGACGGAGCGACACCGCGUGCAGGAUGAAGGCCUUCGGGUUGUAAACUGCUGUCACGCUAUAGGAACGGCCUGGUGUGAACAAUGCCAGGCUUGACCAAAGCGAGAGGAAGCACCGGCUAACUCCGUGCCAGCAGCCGCGGUAAGACGGAGGGUGCAAACGUUGUUCGGAAUCACUGGGCAUAAAGAGCACGUAGGCUGCGCGCUAAGUCAGGUGUGAAAUCCCCCGGCUCAACCGGGGAACUGCACCUGAUACUGACGCGCUCGAGGACGGUAGGGGUGAGUGGAACUCCAGGUGGAGCGGUGAAAUGCGUAGAUAUCUGGAGGAACACCGGUGGCGAAAGCGGCUCACUGGACCGUCUCUGACGCUGAGGUGCGAAAGCUAGGGUAGCAAACGGGAUUAGAUACCCCGGUAGUCCUAGCCGUAAACGAUGGGCACUAGGCAAUGGAGUUACCUAUGGACCUCAUUGCCGGAGCUAAUGUAUUAAGUGCCCCGCCUGGGGAGUACGCUCGCAAGGGUGAAACUCAAAGGAAUUGACGA
RNAcentral lists this ribosomal RNA (889 nucleotides) under uncultured Planctomycetota bacterium. RNAcentral's name for it is "bacterial SSU rRNA". It matches the Rfam family "Bacterial small subunit ribosomal RNA", at positions 37 to 916 of the family's 1533-position model. Lineage: Bacteria; Pseudomonadati; Planctomycetota. The record is from RNAcentral.